GUUCUUCCAGAGAAGGAAGGUCCCGAAGCCCAGGAGGAUGAGCAGCACUGCAGGGCGAGGUGGCCCAGCCCGGUCAGCAGGUGGCCCCAGAGCCCUACGUCCCCAAGUGAUGCCGCCUGCAGACUCCUGGCUUCGGACUUCUCCCGCUGUGACUGGCUCGCCCCGGAAAUACCCGACCGCAGUCGAUUCUUCCAGGUGCUUCUGAGUCAUGGGGCUCUUUCAGAAAUGGGACUGUUCUCUAUGGACACGGCCAAACUCAUUCUCUUCUCCAUCUGGGUGCUCUCUGCCUCGUUUAUGAGGGGACCCCUGGGUGGUGCACCAUGCCCCUCCCAGAUCCAGGGGACAACCAAGGGCUCACCUAGCCAGGUUUGUAAAAAAACAAAAACAAAAACAAAAACAAAACCUGGCCACUGCCCAGGGCGUGGGACAGCUUCAGGCUCUGCUGGGAGGACACAGGGUGGGGGCCUUGUUCGGGAGGCAAGGGUCCCACUGCCACCUGUCAACUCAGAGCCAGACGGCCACUGGGCACUAAAGUGCAGGUCCUGUGAGUGGGCUGGGGGUGGGGAAGGGACACCUCGGAAGGAUUUCCUUAGAAAAGGAAAAUCAGGUGUGAUGCUAACGGAGUUACAAUGGACAGGGAUGGGAGGGUGUAGAACCCCCCAAACUCCCCCUACAAGAGCACUGUUUGCCAGGAGGCGCCCCUCCGGUGGCGGGAGGCCUUCUCUGCAGCCCCCUUCCUGCAGCUGACCCAGCGGCGGGGACAGCUGCAGCCCCACGGCCCAGAAGUGGCCUUACAGCAGGCGCUCGACCGGAUUUGUUGAGUGAAUGGAGCUACAAAGGGGGCCGCAGUGAUGAACAGGGCACGUGGGCGGGGGGCGCCCCCAUCCUGGGCAUACAGGUGGACCGGACCGGCUGGCUGGGCAGGGUGGUCCUCCGGCGGGGAGCCGGGAAGUGGGGCGGGCCCGAUGGGCUUACCGAUGGGGAGGAUGACGUACAGGGCCCCCACGCUCCUCGGUCUCUCCUCGUCUCCUCUGCUGGCAGCAUCGCCCAGGGCUGCUCGGGAGAGGGGAGAAAGUGAGGUUCGGAUCCACAGCGAGGGCCACGGAAAACGCGGCACGUGUGCGGCCGCCGACACGCGCGAGAAAAACGCCUGGUGCUGCUCGGCGUCCUUAAAAGCUCAAAGCAACUCGGAGGGACUCCCGGGUUUGGGAGGCACCACGCUGGGGCCUUAUUCAUUAGCAGGCACGGUUAUGGAGCAGAUUUAAGAGGGCCCUUCAGCCAAGCGUUACGAGGCUCUGGGAAAGGGGCCAACGGUCUGGCAGGCAAAAGCCUGCAGGUACGUUCUCAACAGUUGGUGAGGUCGCUGGUGGAAUUUUUCACCCCGGGUCUGCAUUUGAUGGAAAUGAGACCGUUCUGGGUGGGGCAGCGGCCACCACGUGACUCCAUACCGUGCAGCAACCCCAGUGCCUGGCUUGGAUCGCGCCGAAGCGCCCUAGUCCUGUCUCAACUGUCCCCAGUUAAUAAAUAUUGGGGGAGACCUCGUUACGCAACCAUGAAUGUGCACCUGAGCCCUGUAAGGGCCCCGUGCAAAUCAAAGUUUAAAGUCCUUCAAGCAGGCAAACAGGCUGGGAAGACUGAAAGACCACACCUGGGUCACAUGUACGUAGGUCACCAGUUAAAGUCAACCCCACCUGGGUGCAUGGAAUUUCUACUUUGACAUCGGCUCAGGUUUGAGAAAACUUUUAACAAAAAUAAGGUGGGGUGCCCGGGUGGCUCAGUCGGUUAAGCAUCUGACUCUUGAUCUCGGCUCAGGUCAUGGCCUCAUGGUUCAUGAGACUGAGCACAGAGCCUGCCUGGGAUUCUCUCUCCUUCUCUCUUUGCACCUCCCCCUCCCUCAAAAUAAAUAAAUAAAUAAACAUUAAAAUAAAUAAAUAAAUAAGGCAGCAGCAAGAUCUUUGAGAAGUUUUUCCCCUUAAAAGGACUCAUUCACCAAAAUCGAGACGCCCUAGACAGGCCUGUUUGUGAAAUGGGUUUUCAAGCAGGGGCACCCCCAAGCAAAAAGGUUUCCCGGCCUCCCUUGACCACAGCAGUCCCCGCUUUACCUUGUUUAUGGUUGCACAGGGGCUUUAGCUACUCUGAGUGGGGGAAAAUGUCUGAAACUUGCUGAUGCGCCCCUUUUUUUUCUGGUCAAAAAAAAUUCUAGGGGCUCCAUUUUCUAGCUGAUCGAACUCCAGGACAGGGGCCCUCUGGUGGCCGAAGAGAUGAAUGGCAAGUCUUCCACUGAUUUCACUGAGAGCCCAGCUCUGACCUUGAGACUGGUAGGGUGAGGACAGCGAGGCCCUCCCACAAGCAAAAACUUAGAGCCUCCUCCCUGCCUCCCACCAAAAAGACUUUAGUAAUCAAGUAACAUCCUAAUGUGUGUGGUGUUUUUUGGUUUUUGUUUAAUAAAAAUUAAGGCCAAGA
Molecule: long non-coding RNA, 2463 nt
Organism: Felis catus (domestic cat)
Lineage: Eukaryota; Metazoa; Chordata; Mammalia; Carnivora; Felidae
Exons: 2
Source: RefSeq, a predicted model, not a curated record